GCCCGUACAAAUGUUUCUAGAGAUGGUUAUAUUAAAAAAGUAUCUCUAUUGUAGAGGUGGUUGGUGUUUCUAGUCAACUCUAGAAACGCCCUCCAAUUUUAGAGGUAUUGAUGAUUUUCACCCAUAUUAGGUAAUUUUAUCCGCUACUAAACAUAGGUGUAUCAUAAAAAAUCAUAAUUUUUCAAAUGAAAUCACAUGUAGAUGAACUUUAUAUCAAAGUUUUAAGAGAUCUAUAACUUUGUAGUAGUCUUAUUUUUCAUUUAAAAUUUUUUAGGCCUAAAAUAUGUUUUAAUUUUCUAAAUUUUUAAUUUUUCUUAAAUGGUCUCAGAUGCAGAGACGUUGUAUGCUAAAGUUGUUGUGCUUGUCUGCUUGAUGAGAUAAAAAAGACUGUGUAAUAACACUCAAAUUUUUGUGCACUGGAUAUGGUUUCUAUCUGCUCCUAGCGUUGAAGAUGUAAUGCAUCAGAAUGACUCGACACAACAUUAUAUCUGUAACUAAUAUAAAUAUUUACUGGUAUUAGUAAUGAAUGAAUUGUGAGUUUAGAUACGAAUUGUUGUAAAUUUUUAUUUACAGAAAUUUACUUGUGAAUGUACAUUCAUGUCUUGUAGCUUUUAGUAUAGAAGAAAACAAAAUGUAGAUUCAAUAUAAUUGGUGUAACUAGUGUGCUUAAGUAUUUAUACGCAUGUACGUACGAGAGCACAAUAAUGGACAUGCAUGCACGGCCGGGGCCCUGCUUUCAAAAGCAGCACAUAUGCUUUGCUUGGUCGAUCCAACUACGGUCUUCAGAUGCUGAGAUGGAUGCCCAUAAAAAGCAAGAGUGCUUUGGAAGGUUAGUUUUCUUUUUUUCUUUUUUCUAAUUCCAACGCUUACGCGUGUCGCCAUACGUCGCGUUUGCAAUAUAUAUAAUCUCAGUCAUUCUCAUCACGUAGCGAAAUUAUUGUUCGUCGCGUACCCACGCCCAAUUCGCCGCAUGCUUUAGUAUAGUAGUGGGCCAACGAGCUCCCACGUACGUGUACCUAAUUUCGUUUGACUCAAAGUGUACCAUAUACAAAGAACACAAAGCUUUGUGUAAGGUGAUCACCUGAUCAUCGUUCGUAUGAAAAGAAUGAAAUAAAAGGGCGCAAAAUAAAAAGGAUGGAUAUAUUUUCCACUUUGGUUGUACGUACUGAAUAUGCCCAUAUAUUAUAUAUUUUUAUAUAUUUAUAACACAAAGCUUUAGUACAUUUAUUUAUCUUCUUUGAUCGGACAAGACCGGCAAGGAGAAUGUGGUGUGCCCCAUAGCCGACCGGUCACUCAAGCACUAGUGCACGAUGCUUCGCGGGGAAAGCUAGACAGGCGAUGGAUAUGAUGAUUGAGGCUUAAAAUCCAAAAUUUUUUGAGAUUUGGAUACUGUAAUACUUUCAUUUGUAUUUGAUAAUUAUUGUCUAAAAAUAUUGAUUAAUUAGAUUCAAAAGAUUCAUAUAUACAGAUAAACUAUAUAUACAAUUAGUUAUUUUUGUAUUUAUAUUUAAGGCUUUAUACAUGCGUUUUAAAUUCAAUGGGAUAAGAAAUCUUAAAAAAAAUUAGGUUCACUUGGACGCCUCAGCCGUUCAGGCGAACGAACAUGUAUGCACGCGCAUAUACGUACUACCCAACUUACCUACCAGCACCGCAGCACGUCGCCGAUUUUUUUUUUCUUCCUGAUAUUGAUGAAGCAUGAUGUCCCUUCUUGUUGCAACGUAUAGUAUACGUACUGAUCUACGUAGUGGAUGCACGCAUGGCAGGUAGCUAGCUAGAGUAGCUAACCAAGUACAAGUAGUAGCAAGGAUAAGAUGCAUGUGCAUGGUCCACUGCAAAUGUACGUAUACGUGCACGCAUGUAUCAUCAGUAUAUAUACGUGUACGUAUAAGGCAGGUUUGCAUGUGGCGGCUCGCAGUGUACGGGGUUUACUUAGGCUUCUUUACUUCCACUCAAAAAUUCAAAAUUUUUCAAUAUUUCUCGUCACAUCGAAUCUAGACGUAUGCAUGGAGUAUUAAAUAUAGACGGAAAUAAAAACUAAUUAUACAGUUUGGUCGAAAUUGACAAGACGAAUGUUUUGAGCCUA
RNAcentral lists this long non-coding RNA (2083 nucleotides) under Sorghum bicolor (sorghum). RNAcentral's name for it is "long non-coding RNA (SBIC_LNC007815)". Lineage: Eukaryota; Viridiplantae; Streptophyta; Magnoliopsida; Poales; Poaceae. The record is from RNAcentral.